GAUGAACGCUGGCGGCGUGCCUAAUACAUGCAAGUCGAGCGAACAGACGAGGAGCUUGCUCCUUUGACGUUAGCGGCGGACGGGUGAGUAACACGUGGGUAACCUACCUAUAAGACUGGGAUAACUUCGGGAAACCGGAGCUAAUACCGGAUAAUAUUUCGAACCGCAUGGUUCGAUAGUGAAAGAUGGCUUUGCUAUCACUUAUAGAUGGACCUGCGCCGUAUUAGCUAGUUGGUAAGGUAACGGCUUACCAAGGCAACGAUACGUAGCCGACCUGAGAGGGUGAUCGGCCACACUGGAACUGAGACACGGUCCAGACUCCUACGGGAGGCAGCAGUAGGGAAUCUUCCGCAAUGGGCGAAAGCCUGACGGAGCAACGCCGCGUGAGUGAUGAAGGUCUUCGGAUCGUAAAACUCUGUUAUUAGGGGAGAACAAACGUGUAAGUAACUGUGCACGUCUUGACGGUACCUAAUCAGAAAGCCACGGCUAACUACGUG
This 497-nucleotide ribosomal RNA is filed under the name uncultured bacterium. Its description in RNAcentral is "partial 16S ribosomal RNA". It matches the Rfam family "Bacterial small subunit ribosomal RNA", at positions 28 to 507 of the family's 1533-position model. The record is from RNAcentral.